This 497-nucleotide ribosomal RNA is filed under the name uncultured bacterium. RNAcentral's name for it is "partial 16S ribosomal RNA". It matches the Rfam family "Bacterial small subunit ribosomal RNA", at positions 28 to 507 of the family's 1533-position model. The record is from RNAcentral.
GAUGAACGCUGGCGGCGUGCCUAAUACAUGCAAGUCGAGCGAACAGAUGAGGAGCUUGCUCCUCUGACGUUAGCGGCGGACGGGUGAGUAACACGUGGAUAACCUACCUAUAAGACUGGGAUAACUUCGGGAAACCGGAGCUAAUACCGGAUAAUAUAUUGAACCGCAUGGUUCAAUAGUGAAAGACGGUUUUGCUGUCACUUAUAGAUGGAUCCGCGCCGCAUUAGCUAGUUGGUAAGGUAACGGCUUACCAAGGCAACGAUGCGUAGCCGACCUGAGAGGGUGAUCGGCCACACUGGAACUGAGACACGGUCCAGACUCCUACGGGAGGCAGCAGUAGGGAAUCUUCCGCAAAGGGCGAAAGCCUGACGGAGCAACGCCGCGUGAGUGAUGAAGGUCUUCGGAUCGUAAAACUCUGUUAUUAGGGAAGAACAAAUGUGUAAGUAACUACGCACGUCUUGACGGUACCUAAUCAGAAAGCCACGGCUAACUACGUG